RNAcentral lists this ribosomal RNA (254 nucleotides) under uncultured bacterium. Its description in RNAcentral is "partial 16S ribosomal RNA". It matches the Rfam family "Bacterial small subunit ribosomal RNA", at positions 524 to 776 of the family's 1533-position model. The record is from RNAcentral.
UACGGGGGGAGCAAGCGUUGUUCGGAUUUACUGGGCGUAAAGGGCGCGUAGGCGGUCAGUGCAAGUCAGUUGUGCAAUCUCCGGGCUUAACUCGGAAAGGUCAACUGAUACUGCUCGACUAGAGUGCGGAAGGGGCAACUGGAAUGCUUGGUGUAGCGGUGAAAUGCGUAGAUAUCAAGAGGAACACCUGAGGCGAAGGCGGCGCACUGGACCACAACUGACGCUGAGGCGCGAAAGCUAGGGGAGCAAACAGG